RNAcentral lists this ribosomal RNA (425 nucleotides) under uncultured bacterium. Its description in RNAcentral is "partial 16S ribosomal RNA". It matches the Rfam family "Bacterial small subunit ribosomal RNA", at positions 354 to 796 of the family's 1533-position model. The record is from RNAcentral.
GUGGGGAAUCUUGCGCAAUGGGCGAAAGCCUGACGCAGCCAUGCCGCGUGAAUGAUGAAGGUCUUAGGAUUGUAAAAUUCUUUCACCGGGGACGAUAAUGACGGUACCCGGAGAAGAAGCCCCGGCUAACUUCGUGCCAGCAGCCGCGGUAAUACGAAGGGGGCUAGCGUUGCUCGGAAUUACUGGGCGUAAAGGGCGCGUAGGCGGACAGUUUAGUCAGAGGUGAAAGCCCAGGGCUCAACCUUGGAAUUGCCUUUGAUACUGGCUGUCUUGAGUACGGGAGAGGUGAGUGGAACUACGAGUGUAGAGGUGAAAUUCGUAGAUAUUCGGAAGAACACCAGUGGCGAAGGCGACUCACUGGCCCGUUACUGACGCUGAGGCGCGAAAGCGUGGGGAGCAAACAGGAUUAGAUACCCGUGUAGUCC